CCGAGUUUACAACUCCUCAACCCUGUGAAACAUACCUACUGUUGCUUCGGCGGGAUCAGACCGCUCCGGUAACAACGGGCCGCCCCCGCCAGAGGACCCUAACUCUGUUUUUAUAUGUAACUUUCUGAGUAAACAUCAAAUAAAUCA
This 147-nucleotide unclassified non-coding RNA is filed under the name soil metagenome. RNAcentral describes it as "partial internal transcribed spacer 1". The record is from RNAcentral.